Molecule: small nuclear RNA, 284 nt
Filed under: Erinaceus europaeus (western European hedgehog)
Lineage: Eukaryota; Metazoa; Chordata; Mammalia; Eulipotyphla; Erinaceidae
Description: 7SK RNA
Rfam family: 7SK RNA
About the family: 7SK was discovered as an abundant small nuclear RNA in the mid-70s but a possible function has only recently been suggested.
Source: Rfam by way of RNAcentral
GGAUGUGAGGGCGAUCUGGCUGUAACAUCUAUCACCCCAUUGAUCGCCAGGGUUGAUUGGGCUGAUCUGGCUGACUAUGUAGGUGUCCCCUUCCUCCCUCACUGCUCCAUGUGCAUCCCUUCUGAAGCUGUGUGCUCAGUCAAGGAGGACGGCUUUCCCUAAGUCUUUGGUCGAGGGUAUACGAGUAGCUUCCCUGCUAGAACCUCCAAAUAAGCUCUCAAGAAAGUGUAGGAUUUAAUUUUAAAAUACUUUAAUGUGAGACAGAUACAUUGACUAGGUCAAGU